GUGUCAGCAGCCGCGGUAAUACAGAGGGUGCAAGCGUUGCUCGGAUUUACUGGGCGUAAAGCGUACGCAGACGGCCACGCAGGUCGGGUGUGAAAGCCCCGGGCUCAACCCGGGAAUUGCAUUCGAAACCAUGUGGCUCGAGUGUGGGAGAGGGUAGUGGAAUUCCUGGUGUAGAGGUGAAAUUCGUAGAUAUCAGGAGGAACACCGGCGGCGAAGGCGGCUACCUGGUCCACAACUGACGUUCAGGUACGAAAGCGUGGGGAGCAAACAGGAUUAGAAACCCUCGUAGUCC
This 292-nucleotide ribosomal RNA is filed under the name uncultured bacterium. RNAcentral describes it as "partial 16S ribosomal RNA". It matches the Rfam family "Bacterial small subunit ribosomal RNA", at positions 505 to 796 of the family's 1533-position model. The record is from RNAcentral.